AUUGAACGCUGGCGGCAGGCUUAACACAUGCAAGUCGAGCGGGGUGAUGGUGCUUGCACUAUCACUUAGCGGCGGACGGGUGAGUAAUGCUUAGGAAUCUGCCUAUUAGUGGGGGACAACAUCUCGAAAGGGAUGCUAAUACCGCAUACGUCCUACGGGAGAAAGCAGGGGAUCACUUGUGACCUUGCGCUAAUAGAUGAGCCUAAGUCGGAUUAGCUAGUGGGGGGGGUAAAGGCCUACCAAGGCGACGAUCUGUAGCGGGUCUGAGAGGAUGAUCCGCCACACUGGGACUGAGACACGGCCCAGACUCCUACGGGAGGCAGCAGUGGGGAAUAUUGGACAAUGGGGGGAACCCUAAUCCAGCCAUGCCGCGUGUGUGAAGAAGGCCUUAUGGUUGUAAAGCACUUUAAGCGAGGAGGAGGCUCUUUUGGUUAAUACCCAAGAUGAGUGGACGUUACUCGCAGAAUAAGCACCGGCUAACUCUGUGCCAGCCGCCGCCGUAA
RNAcentral lists this ribosomal RNA (503 nucleotides) under uncultured bacterium. RNAcentral describes it as "partial 16S ribosomal RNA". It matches the Rfam family "Bacterial small subunit ribosomal RNA", at positions 30 to 523 of the family's 1533-position model. The record is from RNAcentral.